RNAcentral lists this transfer RNA (73 nucleotides) under Pristimantis sp. CORBIDI 2848. Its description in RNAcentral is "tRNA-Leu". It matches the Rfam family "tRNA". From Rfam's summary of the family: Transfer RNA (tRNA) molecules are approximately 80 nucleotides in length. Lineage: Eukaryota; Metazoa; Chordata; Amphibia; Anura; Strabomantidae. The record is from RNAcentral.
GUUAGUGUAGCAAACCCUGGCUUUGCAGGAGGCCUAAGCCCUUCCCACAGGGGUUCAAAUCCCCUCUCUAACU